RNAcentral lists this ribosomal RNA (253 nucleotides) under uncultured Eubacteriales bacterium. RNAcentral's name for it is "uncultured Clostridiales bacterium partial 16S ribosomal RNA". It matches the Rfam family "Bacterial small subunit ribosomal RNA", at positions 524 to 776 of the family's 1533-position model. Lineage: Bacteria; Bacillati; Bacillota; Clostridia; Eubacteriales. The record is from RNAcentral.
UACGUAGGGGGCAAGCGUUAUCCGGAUUUACUGGGUGUAAAGGGAGCGCAGGCGGCGUGGCAAGUCAGAUGUGAAAACCCGGGGCCCAACCCCGGGAGUGCAUUUGAAACUGCCAUGCUGGAGUGCCGGAGAGGUAAGCGGAAUUCCUAGUGUAGCGGUGAAAUGCGUAGAUAUAUGGAAGAACACCAGUGGCGAAAGCGGCUCUCUGGUCUGUAACUGACGCUGAGGUUCGAAAGCGUGGGUAGCAAACAGG